This 497-nucleotide ribosomal RNA is filed under the name uncultured bacterium. RNAcentral's name for it is "partial 16S ribosomal RNA". It matches the Rfam family "Bacterial small subunit ribosomal RNA", at positions 28 to 507 of the family's 1533-position model. The record is from RNAcentral.
GAUGAACGCUGGCGGCGUGCCUAAUGCAUGCAAGUCGAGCGAACGGACGAGAAGCUUGCUUCUCUGAUGUUAGCGGCGGACGGGUGAGUAACACGUGGAUAACCUACCUAUAAGACUGGGAUAACUUCGGGAAACCGGAGCUAAUACCGGAUAAUAUUUUGAACCGCAUGGUUCAAAAGUGAAAGACGGUCUUGCUGUCACUUAUAGAUGGAUCCGCGCUGCAUUAGCUAGUUGGUAAGGUAACGGCUUACCAAGGCAACGAUGCAUGGCCGACCUGAGAGGGUGAUCGGCCACACUGGAACUGAGACACGGUCCAGACUCCUACGGGAGGCAGCAGUAGGGAAUCUUCCGCAAUGGGCGAAAGCCUGACGGAGCAACGCCGCGUGAGUGAUGAAGGUCUUCGGAUCGUAAAACUCUGUUAUUAGGGAAGAACAUAUGUGUAAGUAACUGUGCACAUCUUGACGGUACCUAAUCAGAAAGCCACGGCUAACUACGUG